GUCCCUUCCAACUCUACGAUUCUGUGAUUGCUAAGGUUGGAGUCACAGCUAUCCUAUAGGAAUGCUGACCACGAGACAGAUGUUUGCCAAGAAGGGAAUCAUAGAAUCAUAGAGUUGGAAGAGAC
This is a non-coding RNA of Podarcis lilfordi (Lilford's wall lizard), 125 nucleotides long. The record is from the annotation of a GenBank genome assembly. Lineage: Eukaryota; Metazoa; Chordata; Lepidosauria; Squamata; Lacertidae.